AUAGAAAUGUUCUGUGUUUCAGUAAGGCUAUCUGCUCUAGCCCAAAAAAAUCCACUUCUAUAAUUUUCCAGUGUGCUGAGCCUGGGAGGGUCUGAGUGUCCAAGGGGUGCUUUGGGGAUGAAAAGUGCAUGAUUAAUUCAGGCAGUGAUUGUUUCCUUCCUUUCAGAGGAAUGUAGCAUUGAGGUUCAGAAAGUGCCACUGAAACACAAGGUAAAAACCCACACGAAGAAGGAUCACGUAAAGGAAGAUGAGGAAAGCAGCCAGACCCACGAUAAUAGUAUUCCAAAUAACAUCCUGGAGGCAGUUUUACAAUUGUGAGCACUGCCACGGACAUAGAUGUAGCUGCAGGAAACAUGGAUUUGGGUUUGUUUUAAAUCCCAUGGAUUGGCGUCCAGGCUCUGCAACUAGCAAGUAUGAUCUCUUACUGAAUAGGAGCAUAGCCACAGGAGAGAAAAGAUUAAGGGAAUCAAAGGAAUACAUUUUUUCAUUUCACUCCUUUCUUAUUACAGUAGAUUAAAAGAAAAAAGUGAGUUUUGUUCAACAUUCAAUUUUGAGGACAAUUAAAUAAGCCAAAAACAUUGUUCAGAAUUAGAGCACCGAAUAAAGGAUUUCAAAAACACAGUGUGGGGUUCAUGGUGGGAUUUUUAUUUCCUUUUAAGAUGAGCCAUAUACAGCUGUAUGAGAUCUAUUGUCCUCUGUCCCACUGAAGAAAUAGUUUCUUUCUAAAGUGUCCAAUCUGGUAAGACACAUAGGUUCUUUAAAAGCUUAAAAAAAGAAGGAAAGCACUCAAACUCUCUUCUGGUUCAAAUGGCAAUUAUCUGAGAAGCAGCAAAGAAACAGGAAUACAUGAGUAAAUGAAAUAGCUUUUGAUGGCCUGGCUAUGAAUGACAGUAGGAUUUGUCCCCUUUGGUAAUGACAUGCAGCAGCAAGCAGUAUGCACCGGCAAGACAGAAGUCAGCCCUGACUGUCUGGUACAACAGCAGUGAUCUUUCACAGCAUAGAUGGUUAUUACAAGCCUGCUCAGGGGAAACCACUUUCUACUCUAAUGGAUGGAGAAAUGUUCCUUGAUACUGAGGCAAAAGGGGACAUAAUUUAAAGAAAACUAAACCUUUGAAAACUUCCUUGUAACUGUGGUUCUGGAAAGUCUCUUUUCCUUCUGUUCUGCAGGAACUGUCAAACACCAAGAAUUCCACCAUCAUUUUUGGGCCCCAUCAAGACAAAGGCUAACAAAAGAGGGAGGCUAAAAGACCAACUCUAGUUUACAAUUCCACCUUUCAAACUCAUCAUCAACUGAAGGAGGGUUUUUCAAAAUAAAAAAACCCCACAGACUAGGUAUGUAGAGUCUGAGAAAAAAAACCCCACUGAUCAUUAUAGCUUGUGUUCUGCUGUCAUUCAUUCUUCAGGGAAUCCUGUGCUCCAGGCAGAUCUGGCAAAACAGACAACCAAGAGAAGAACUUUGUGUGAUGGAGAGAACAUGGAAUGCUUCAGAUGAACCAGAUGUCAGGAGCAGCAGAAAACAAAUGAGGAGAAUGAAGGUUCGAAGAAUCAGAUUGCUAAAGUGUAAUGAAAACUGGAACCAAAAACUAGGCCUGGACAAAAGAGCACCAGAGUGGAAAAACACAAUGGAGGACCUUAGCGAAAAGGGGAAAUAAUAAAAUAAACUAGCUCAGUUCUUCAAUUUAAAUUUCAACUUUGUGCUUUCAGGAUAGGGGACCUGAAGAAAUUGAAGAACUGGCAUUAGUUUUCUUUGUAGCUGUGCAGCUGCUCACAGUUAUCUGCCUCUGUGUUCCUGGCAGGCAGCACUGCAGCACCAAUAGCCCGCAAAUUUCCCAGGAUGUGAGAAAAGGGUACCAAGAAUGAUUGAUGGAUCCAUCAUGAACUUGCACAUGCCAGCAGACACACGUGUCUCAUGUGGCCCCACAGGAAGGAUCCAGAUAGAGCACUGCUGCAUCCCACAGCUGCAGCCUGCAACUGCUCUGUGUCAAGUCACUGCUGAUGGGGGACAUAUAAUGUUCCCUCUGAAAGCCCUACUUGCUCAAGCAGGGCUUUCUGGUCUCUCUGGAGAGAUGCUGCUGAGCCCGUAUUUUAAUUGGUUUUCAAAUCCCAAGAUACAUCAGGCAAGACCUCACUCUGGUAUUUUGCACUACAUCCUUGCUUCUCCAGAGUACUGUCAUUUUUCAGAGCAAAUGCCAAUAAAAAGGGCAUGAUGUCAGGCAUUCCAUCUGCAGGAUGUGCCGCACUCCUCCAUUCCCAACCACAGACUGAUGGACGCUGCUGCUCCCUCACUCCCGGAGGAAGCAUUACAAAUCCUCUCAACACCCAUCCCCCCAGUUUCAGUAAAGAUCCACUGACACUUGGUGGAAAAAAAACAACAUUGUAUUUGAUUUACAAUUAACAGGAUUUACAAAUAAUGAAAAAGAAACAGAUUAGCCAUGAAAUUAGGAUGUCUUUGUUGAUGAAAGAAUAACUGGCAAAGCACCUUCCUGUAGAAGUCAUAUAGCUCAGUCCUAAACAGUAUAAAAUAACUUACAGCCCAGGCAGGUUCAGGAAUGAUUAUAGACAAAUGCAAGAAGUCGAGUACAAAAAAACCAAAAAAAA
This is a long non-coding RNA of Parus major (Great Tit), 2598 nucleotides long. RefSeq lists it as uncharacterized. The transcript has 2 exons. The record is from RefSeq and is a predicted model, not a curated record. Lineage: Eukaryota; Metazoa; Chordata; Aves; Passeriformes; Paridae.